UUUUUUUUUUUUUUUUUUGUCUUUCGUGUAUAUUGCUUUUAUUAAAACUGAACUUCUUUUUUAUUUUCAGCACCGACACAGGAAACUACACAAGAAAAUGGAGUUGCAGCUGAGAAUUCGAUUGAGGAAAUCAAAACAUUUAUUCGGGAAACCAUGCAUAUCGAAUCCGAGGUGUGUACUGGCCGUGCGCAUAGAGUUGGGACAUCGAGAAGAGGAAGGCCUAGGCCGAUGGUCGCCAAGUUCGGAAGGUUUAGUGAUCGAGAAACGGUACGGAAAUCGUCAAGAGUUUUGAACGGAUCAAGUUCUUUAUUGUCUCCGAACAAUUUCCAAGGGAAGUAAACGAAAGACGUAAGCUUCUAGCGUCCCACAGGAGUGAAGCCAUCCGAGCAGUUAAGCGUGCUGUAAAGAACAAGGACAAACUGUAUAUCGAUUGAGUUCUCUCCCAGCCUCCGACUGCUAAUGAAGUACGUGCUACUGAACUCCGAUCUCCGGCUACCAAUGCGAAGGAAGAAAAAACGAGAAAAGAAGAAGAGCCUCUGGACCUGAGGAAUUGUACGAGAGAUCAGUACGAAGACAGGGACAAAGAAGAUGACCCUAUGUUGACAACAAUGCUGGUGGGCGACCAUUUAGAACGCACAAUGGUACAACCCAUCAAGAUGGUUUCUUUGAAGGAAAGGUGUGUAAAGAUAAAGGAAGACAUAAGAAAAAUUGAGAAACUGCUUUCUAAUUUAAAAAAUAAAUUUACCCUAUUAAACAAACAAAACAAAAAUCAAUCGAAUGUACGCUUGAUGUUAUUGUAAAUGUACUUUUUUUAUUCAGUACAAUGUACACUUGAUAUUAUUGUAACUACUCUUUUUUAAAUUCAAUACAGUGUACACUUGAUAUUAUUAUUAUUAUUAUUAUUAUUAUUAUUAUUGUUGUUGUUGUCGAAAAAAACCUUUCAUCUUGUUUUCCUACGCACA
This is a long non-coding RNA of Gigantopelta aegis, 962 nucleotides long. RefSeq lists it as uncharacterized. Lineage: Eukaryota; Metazoa; Mollusca; Gastropoda; Neomphalida; Peltospiridae. The record is from RefSeq and is a predicted model, not a curated record. The transcript is spliced from 4 exons.